This 693-nucleotide long non-coding RNA is filed under the name Gopherus agassizii (Agassiz's desert tortoise). Its description in RNAcentral is "lncRNA (ENSGAGG00000012862.1)". Lineage: Eukaryota; Metazoa; Chordata; Testudines; Testudinidae. The record is from RNAcentral.
CUCCUGCUAUUAUGGCAGCCGGUCCUGAGGGACACAUGGGAUCCCAGUCCCACUGCAGGGCUCUUGUCCAGACUUGUCUUCUAAGGAAUAGCCCCUAUUAAAGACCAACAAUCACUGUUUCAGGUAAUUGAAUUAAAACAUGAUAUAGAUCACCAUCAACUGAUAAAUAUGUGCCAGGAAUUGGAAUACAAAUUGGUGCAGAUCUGGAGUUUACCUGCCCUGCAGUUGCUUCACCAGAUCAAUAUCUCAAAUGAAACCAUUGUUUUCACCAGGAUUAACAGUUCACUGUUCCUUGGCCUGCAUUCUGGAGCUGUAAAUGUCUUUGAUGUUCAUGUUGAAGAAGGCCCAGUGGAUCUGUUGGAGAAAAAGCCAGAGGGAAAUGAAGAACCAGAUAUCACUCAUGAUUCUGAAAAUGCUCACAAGGGCCCUGUGGUAGCAGUGGAUGCCUGCAAGACUCUCUCUCUCUUUCUAAGCUGUGGUGCGGACUACAUGGUGAAACUCUGGGAUAUUCACAAGAAUUUGCUAGCCAACAUUUUUCUUGAUAACACUCUCAGCUCUGCUUGUUUCCUAAAUGGUUCUGGAGAUAUUUUAGUGGCUUUCAAAAAUGAUCUUUACAUCUUGCCUCACAGUAAGGCACUGGGUAUCUCAGCGACAGAUACAGAUGUCUCUGGAAUCUCAGCAACAGGUUGCUGA